Molecule: long non-coding RNA, 2018 nt
Filed under: Theobroma cacao (cacao)
Lineage: Eukaryota; Viridiplantae; Streptophyta; Magnoliopsida; Malvales; Malvaceae
Description: long non-coding RNA (TCAC_LNC005949)
Source: RNAcentral
GCCAAAGCAAGAACAAAGGAAGAAAAAAAAGAACAAGAACCCUAGGGUGAAAAUUCAAGAGAAAAUUGGUGGAUUUCAAGUAAUCAAGCAAUCAAAGGUAAAAUUUCUUGAUUUUGACUUGUGAUCUACCUUUCCCAUACAUUCUUUUGCAUUUUCCAUGGUUGAAUCACAUGAUUUCAUGAUGGGUAUCUUGCUGGCUGAACACUUAGAGAGAGGUUUUGAUGCUUGAUUUGGUUAGAUUUCAAUGGAUUUUAGUGUUUUUAGUUGAUUGGUGAUGUGUAGCAUGAAAAUCAAGCAAGAAAAAUUCAUGUUCUUCCAUCACCCAUCAUUGGCUGAAUUCUCCAUGUGGAAUAUUGAGGAUGAUUUUGAUUUUAUUUCAAGUGAUUUGGUUAGGAAUUAGUGAUUUAUGGUGUGAGAAUCAAGUAGGAAAAAUUAUAGUGUUGAUGCACCCACCAUGGCUGAAUUUUCCAAGAGAAAAUGUGAGGAUGAUUUUGCCAUAUUUCAAGUUAUUUAAUUUGUGUUUGAUGAUUUGGAGUAUUGGGAGAAAAAUGGAAUUAUUUGGAGUUGAAUUGGACGUAUUGGCCAAUUAAUCGGGUGAUAGAUCGAAGUAGGCCAAUACCGUUUUAUUUAGGUACAUAAUUGAAUUUAUAUUGAAUAUCGUAUUUAGAUAGUAUUUCACAUCCCAUUUCAUGCAUUAGAAUAGAGCUUGAAUUGGUUUUAUAACAAUUUAGCACAAAUGUAGUAAAUGGCUUAUUGUGCAUUAUGUCUAGGUGGUGGGCAUUCUGGCAAAAGUAAAGAUAUAGUACCCGAGGAUCAAGAAUCGAAGUACUCAAAAUUUGACUCCCGAAAUAGUGAGUAACCUUAUCAUCAUCUUGAUUAUCUGAAGUGAAUUUUAAUUCGUUUUUGUGAUUUUAUGAAAAAUGAGUUUAAAUGGAAAAUCUUUAUGUUUUAUAAACAAAAUGUGUUUAAAUAAAAUGAUUUUAUAAAAUUGUCUUGAAAUUGAAUGAUGGUUUUGAAAAUGGAGUAAUUGGAGACUAAUUACUGUGUUAUAAAUCAUGGCUGUGUUAUAAAUCAUGGUUUGAAUUGAAUGGCUUAUGAUAAUAUUGGCAUGAAUGGUUGAUUUGGUAAAUGUGCUGAAAAAGUAUGAACUAUUGAUUUGCCUUGAGAGGCUGUAAAAUAAAAUAAUUGCCAUGUCAUGCUGUUGAAUUUUAUUGAAUUGGUGGGUUAAUAUUGGUCGUUGCAGUGGACGGUUCCGUGGACUAGCCUAUUAGAGGGACACGGUAACCCUAUUAUAUUCAUACCUCAGUAUGAGAGGCACGGAUGGAUAACUCCUGAGGUUAACACUUUAGAGUUCACUUCACGUUAAACCACCACAUGAGGGUGAACUUAGCCAACGCCAAGGAACGACUAUAUUUUCAAAAUAAAAACAUGAUUUAUGCGUACAAAAUUUUUUAAUAGCCUUGGUGGACUCGGUUGGGAUAGCCCUCAGCCAAGGUAUCCCUUAUAACUGAGUAUGAGAAUGAUUUUGGCACGAGCCAAACUUUUCAAGAAAUCAUAAGCCUCAUUGUUUAUUUUGGUGAAAUGAAUCUAUUUUACCUUAUUAAAAUGAGUUCGAAAUGCUGAGAAUCAUUUUUAUGCUAAUAUAUUUUAUCUGUCUCCAUUUACUCAGCUUAAAAUACUUUAGAUGGUAUUUGUUUACUCACUGGGAUUAUAUAAUCUCACCACUCUCCUUUUCACCCAUUUCAGGCUUAGGAUAGUCGGUAGAUAGCUCAUUUUGUUGAGGGCUACAGUUGGACUUGCAUCCUAAAAAACUGUAAGUUUACCGCUUUUGAUACUUUUGGUCGUUUGUGGGCCCACGUGUCAUUGUAAAUUGAAUUUUAUACUUUGGUUAUCUAUAUUACAGUAUGUAUGAAUUUAUUUAGCUUUUACGCUACAAAAAAUUAUUUACCGGUAACUCUAUAAAUAUUGUUUUAUAAGAAAAUAGAAUAUUUUAUUGAAUAUUUUUAUUAUAUUCAAAU